This 1575-nucleotide ribosomal RNA is filed under the name Triticum aestivum (bread wheat). RNAcentral describes it as "partial small subunit ribosomal RNA". Lineage: Eukaryota; Viridiplantae; Streptophyta; Magnoliopsida; Poales; Poaceae. The record is from RNAcentral.
AUGGCCACCGGCGGCAACCCCAAUCCCAACGCGAACCCCGGCCAGCCACGCCCGCAGCAGCAGCCGCCGGGAAGCUCUCCGGCGACCCCGCAUAACCACAUGCGCCCCCCCACUCUCGCCGGUUCCCCGUUUCAGGGUCUUUUCCACACCCCGCCUAGCCACAAUCCUGCUUUCCAGAUUCACAUGGGCGCAGCCUCCUCCCCCCAGACCCCACUAAUGGCCGCGGCCGCGGCCUCCGCCGCCGCAUCGGCCAAGCGCCCUCCCCAGAAGCCCCCUUCGCGUCCGCCGGCACCCACCUCCAACGCCGCCGCCGCAGCGUCCAUGGCCGCCGCUUAUAAGGCUGCUAACUCCGGCAGCGUCGACCUCACCCCCGCUGCGCGCCGCAACAAGAAGCGCAAACUCCCGGAGAAGCAGCUCCCGGACCGCGUCGCCGCGCUGUUGCCAGAGUCCGCGCUCUACACGCAGCUCCUCGAGUUCGAGGCCCGCGUAGACGCAGCGCUCGCGCGCAAGAAGGUGGACAUUCAGGAGGCGCUCAAGACACCACCGUCCCUCCAGCGCACGCUCCGCAUCUACGUCUUCAACACCUUCGCCAACCAGGCGCCCCGCACCAUCCCGCCGCCCAAGAAUGGCGAUCCGCCCACCUGGUCGCUCAAGAUCAUUGGCCGUGUGCUUGAAGACGGCGCGGAGCUGGACCCAGCCAGUGUCGUGCCGAAGCACAAUCCGGUGUAUCCGAAAUUCUCCUCGUUCUUUAAGAGGGUGACUAUUGCUCUUGACUCGUCACUCUAUCCAGAGAACCCACUGAUUGUCUGGGAGAAUGCCCGGUCUGCUGCGCCGCAGGAAGGGUUUGAGGUGAAGAGGAAAGGGGAUAAGGAGUUUCUUGCCAAUAUCCGUCUGGAGAUGAAUUAUAACCCCGAGAAGUUCAAGCUGUCACAGCCACUAAUGGAGGUGCUUGGGGUUGAGGUGGACACUCGCGCAAGGGUGAUCGCAGCCCUUUGGCAGUACAUCAAGGCAAAGAAGCUACAGAAUCCAAGUGACCCUUCCUACUUUAUGUGUGACCCCCAACUGAAGAAGGUAUUUGGGGAGGAUAAAAUGAGGUUUGCUAUGCUGUCGCAGAAGAUAUCACAGCAUCUUGCUCCUCCACCGCCCAUCAACUUGGAACAUAAGAUCAAGCUAUCAGGGAAUGGAGCAAACUCGAGUGCUUGCUAUGAUGUAUUGGUAGAUGUUCCUUUCCCACUGCAGAAGGAGAUGACAGCAUUUCUUGCCAAUACUGAGAAGCACAAGGACAUUGAGGCAUGUGACGAGGUGAUAUCUGCUUCAAUCAAGAAGAUCCAUGAGCAUCGUAGGAGGAGGGCGUUUUUCCUUGGGUUCAGCCAGUCCCCAGUGGAGUUCAUUAAUGCGUUGAUAGCAUCACAGAGUAAAGAUUUGAAGCUUGUUGCUGGUGAAGCGAGUAGGAAUAUUGAAAGGGAAAGGCGUGCGGACUUCUAUAACCAGCCAUGGGUUGAGGAUGCUGUUAUAAGAUAUUUGAAUCGUAAACCGCCUGGUGGCAACGAUGGCCCUGGUGCUGGUGGUUCUUGA